UUGCUGUUUUGACGUUACCGACAGAAUAAGCACCGGCUAACUCUGUGCCAGCAGCCGCGGUAAUACAGAGGGUGCAAGCGUUAAUCGGAAUUACUGGGCGUAAAGCGCGCGUAGGUGGUUUGUUAAGUUGGAUGUGAAAGCCCCGGGCUCAACCU
RNAcentral lists this ribosomal RNA (155 nucleotides) under Pseudomonas putida. Its description in RNAcentral is "partial 16S ribosomal RNA". It matches the Rfam family "Bacterial small subunit ribosomal RNA", at positions 461 to 615 of the family's 1533-position model. The record is from RNAcentral. Lineage: Bacteria; Pseudomonadati; Pseudomonadota; Gammaproteobacteria; Pseudomonadales; Pseudomonadaceae.